Molecule: small nucleolar RNA, 302 nt
Rfam family: Fungal small nucleolar RNA U3
About the family: Small nucleolar RNAs (snoRNAs) are involved in the processing and modification of rRNA in the nucleolus. There are two main classes of snoRNAs: the box C/D class, and the box H/ACA class.
UCCAACAGUAGGAUCAUUUCUAUAGUUUACGUCCCUCUUUGACUCUUCAAACGAGCCACUGAAUCCAACUUGGUUGAUGAGUUGUAUACCUUUGUGCCCUAGAGUGAGAAUAUUGAUUUAGCUUGUCUAUAAUCCUUAGCGGUUUAGUCAUCUAUUUUAAUUUUUGCCUUUUUGUUUAUAUUCAAUAUUGUUUCCUUUGGAGAUUAUUAUUGUUUUAUUAAAGGAGCGAUGAUCUUGACCCUAUUUAUGAACUUUUUCGAAAGGGAUAAAUAUGGGUGGGUGCAAAUGGCAAUCUGACAAGU